UGGGCUAUAGCUCAGUUGGUAGAGUGCUUGCCUCACAUGCACAAGGUCCUGGGUUCCAUCCCUAGUAACACAC
This 73-nucleotide transfer RNA is filed under the name Urocitellus parryii (Arctic ground squirrel). RNAcentral describes it as "Spermophilus parryii (Arctic ground squirrel) tRNA". It matches the Rfam family "tRNA". From Rfam's summary of the family: Transfer RNA (tRNA) molecules are approximately 80 nucleotides in length. The record is from Rfam by way of RNAcentral. RNAcentral also lists the same sequence under 1 other name. Lineage: Eukaryota; Metazoa; Chordata; Mammalia; Rodentia; Sciuridae.